GGCCUGGCCGCGCAGCGGCCGGGCCCCCACCCCCGCCAUAAUAGUCCCUGUUAUGACGUCGGCUGCAACCCUUGCCCGAGCAGCAGGAGAAGCCCGCGGAGGCUCGUUGCCUCCCGGCCAACUUAGAAACUUUUCCGUGAUACUUUCGAUACUUUUAUCUCGUAAGAGAGCUUAAAAUGAACAACGACAUUAAAGGGUUAAAUUGUCUUGUGUUAAUUCCUAAAAUAACGCUGCAGGAUGUACGGUAGGGUUGAAUGUGUGUUCGAGUGGAGGGAAGCUUAAGAAAGAUGCAAGCUAUCGAAUUUGGAUUUACGUUCGUUGCACAUAUCGGUUUUAAUGGGUUCGAGGAAAAUCUACCGCGGAAGCGGAGGAUAUAUUAAAUUUAUGCCCACAUAUAGAAAAUCGUUAAUGUACUUACAACCUUCUGUUGAUGAUCGAGCACUACUUGUUGGUUGCAAUGGCGCUAUUCCCAGACCACGGCGAUCGGCACAUUUCGAUCCUUUCGCCGGCCCCCGUUGUAGCGGGCAGGGCGCGCAUGGGUUCGUUAAACUUGCCACCUUGCUUGCAGUUUUGUUGUCAUCGUACGGGGAAGGUGAACAUUUUUAAAAACAACACUGAGUUCCGGCUCAUAUCCAACUAAUCUGUUUUCCGCUUGCGUUCUCCGGGUGCGUUUCGGGUGUCUCGCCCUCACUUCUUAUUCGGCGAACGUCCGUCUGCGGCCGCUGUGUCCAUUGUCGAGAAUCGGCGUACACAAUUGAAUUUGUUUAUGUUCGCUUCCGUUCUGUCGGAUAUCCAUUCGAGCACACUUUCACAUCCAUUCCGUCCGCACGACAAAUUUACGUCGCGGCAACUUCGGAUUGGGAACUUUCUGACCGAUCCUAGCUCCCUCUGCUCUACCGGGCUAUUUUCGUUGACCGGAAUUUCCGUGCUUCUUCUGUUGCGAUCGCUCAGGAAACCGGAUGCAGGAGAAAAUAUGCUGUUCUAGCCCGGCGGGACAAGCUUCGCUAUUACGAUGAGAAAAAGAUUUUCCUCGAACCCAUUAAAAUA
RNAcentral lists this long non-coding RNA (1047 nucleotides) under Androctonus crassicauda. The record is from RNAcentral. Lineage: Eukaryota; Metazoa; Arthropoda; Arachnida; Scorpiones; Buthidae.